RNAcentral lists this transfer RNA (63 nucleotides) under Aderitotermes cf. fossor BDIT074. RNAcentral's name for it is "tRNA-Glu". It matches the Rfam family "tRNA". From Rfam's summary of the family: Transfer RNA (tRNA) molecules are approximately 80 nucleotides in length. Their secondary structure includes four short double-helical elements and three loops (D, anti-codon, and T loops). Lineage: Eukaryota; Metazoa; Arthropoda; Insecta; Blattodea; Termitidae. The record is from RNAcentral.
AUUUAUAUAGUUUAGAAAAACAUUACAUUUUCACUGUAAAGACAAAGGCAACUUUUAUAAAUA